Molecule: ribosomal RNA, 253 nt
Filed under: uncultured bacterium
Lineage: Bacteria
Description: partial 16S ribosomal RNA
Rfam family: Bacterial small subunit ribosomal RNA
Source: RNAcentral
UACAGGGGGUGCAAACGUUGCUCGGAAUCAUUGGGCGUAAAGCGCACGUAGGCGGCGCGGUAAGUCGGGUGUGAAAUCUCGGGGCUUAACUCCGAAACUGCAUUCGAUACUGCCGUGCUUGAGGACUGGAGAGGAGACUGGAAUUUACGGUGUAGCGGUGAAAUGCGUAGAUAUCGUAAGGAAGACCAGUGGCGAAGGCGGCUAUCUGGACGGAUACUGACGCUGAGACGCGAAAGCGUGGGGAGCAAACAGG